GAUGAACGCUGGCGGCGUGCCUAAUACAUGCAAGUCGAGCGAAUGGAUUAAGAGCUUGCUCUUAUGAAGUUAGCGGCGGACGGGUGAGUAACACGUGGGUAACCUGCCCAUAAGACUGGGAUAACUCCGGGAAACCGGGGCUAAUACCGGAUAACAUUUUGAACCGCAUGGUUCGAAAUUGAAAGGCGGCUUCGGCUGUCACUUAUGGAUGGACCCGCGUCGCAUUAGCUAGUUGGUGAGGUAACGGCUCACAAAGGCAACGAUGCGUAGCCGACCUGAGAGGGUGAUCGGCCACCCUGGGACUGAGAUACGGCCCAUACUCCUACGGGAGGCAGCAGUAGGGAAUCUUCCGCAAUGGACGAAAGUCUGACGGAGCAACGCCGCGUGAGUGAUGAAGGCUUUCGGGUCGUAAAACUCUGUUGUUAGGGAAGAACAAGUGCUAGUUGAAUAAGCUGGCACCUUGACGGUACCUAACCAGAAAGCCACGGCUAACUACGUGCCAGCCGCCGCCGUAA
This 515-nucleotide ribosomal RNA is filed under the name uncultured bacterium. RNAcentral's name for it is "partial 16S ribosomal RNA". It matches the Rfam family "Bacterial small subunit ribosomal RNA", at positions 28 to 523 of the family's 1533-position model. The record is from RNAcentral.